CCAAAGGGCAAAAUCCUCUAGGACAUUCCAGGAGAGUUAAGUAUCACAGUUUACAGUGAAUACUCUCUCAAAGACCACAACACUGCCGGCCGUGAAAUUCAAUAAUGCUAACCUGUCACAUCAAUUCAGCAUCAGCAAAUCUAUACUUUCCCACAACAUCAGUUAUGUCUGACAGAGCAGUGCCUGGCUGAGCCAGUAACUCCAACCCUGAUGGAAAAGAGACUGUUGAGGCUUGCAGUGAUGCUUCAACGCUGGGCCAACACAUUGCCUAAACCUGGCACUGGAUGCAGACGUUGCUCUUUUCUCUGUGGAUGGUGCCACUACAUCAUGUCUCUCUCCAUCUCAUACAUUGUUUUUAGUCUCAGUGCCACUCUCUUUGUUACCCUUGAUUUUUGAUCCCAUCCUGGAACAUACUGCAGGAUUAAUCAUGAAGAGAACGGCUGGUGGACUGUCGAGCAAAGAGCAACCUCACGGUUAUCCAUCCACUUGACACAAACCGGUGGGCCAUCAUUGAUCCACCCAAUGGAGCCUCUAGGAUGGCUGAGUAGGGGCACUCUCUUCUUUUAUCAGUAUGUGACUGGCUUGGGAUGCUAACAUGGACCUACUGUAUGCAGUGGAUCAAAAAGAAAAAAGAGUAAGGCAGUGGAGCUGUCAGUGUUAGACAUGGUCUGUAGGUUAUCAGAGCUGGAAGCUGCUGUCCAAUGCAGGACAGGACAGUUAAGCAGACGGGCUGACAGGCUGACAGGUGUCAACUCUACAGGAUGUGGGCUGAUCCAGACCUCUCACUUGCCACAGUGCUCCAAGAACAGGUGGCUCACGCUGAUAUAUCUCAAGCAGCCGUGUUCACGUUGAAACACACACACACAAUCCAUCAGGAAAACACACUCCCUCAGAGACAAGGAUGCAUAUACAAGCGAGCACAUGGGCAUUGAUCAGUUAGUAUGGAUGUAU
This is a long non-coding RNA of Acanthopagrus latus (yellowfin seabream), 951 nucleotides long. RefSeq lists it as uncharacterized. The transcript has 5 exons. The record is from RefSeq and is a predicted model, not a curated record. Lineage: Eukaryota; Metazoa; Chordata; Actinopteri; Spariformes; Sparidae.